RNAcentral lists this ribosomal RNA (253 nucleotides) under uncultured bacterium. Its description in RNAcentral is "partial 16S ribosomal RNA". It matches the Rfam family "Bacterial small subunit ribosomal RNA", at positions 524 to 776 of the family's 1533-position model. The record is from RNAcentral.
UACGGAGGGGGCUAGCGUUAAUCGGAAUUACUGGGCGUAAAGCGUGCGCAGGCGGUUAUGUAAGACAGGUGUGAAAUCCCCGGGCUUAACCUGGGAACUGCAUUUGUGACUGCAUAGCUAGAGUACGGCAGAGGGGGAUGGAAUUCCGCGUGUAGCAGUGAAAUGCGUAGAUAUGCGGAGGAACACCGAUGGCGAAGGCAAUCCCCUGGGCCUGUACUGACGCUCAUGCACGAAAGCGUGGGGAGCAAACAGG